UACAGAGGUCUCGAGCGUUGUUCGGAUUCAUUGGGCGUAAAGGGUGUGUAGGUGGCGCCGUAAGUCGGGUGUGAAAUUUCGGAGCUUAACUCCGAAACUGCAUUCGAUACUGCGGUGCUUGAGGACUGGAGAGGAGACUGGAAUUCAUGGUGUAGCAGUGAAAUGCGUAGAGAUCAUGAGGAAGACCAGUGGCGAAGGCGGGUCUCUGGACAGUUCCUGACACUGAGACACGAAGGCCAGGGGAGCAAACAGG
RNAcentral lists this ribosomal RNA (253 nucleotides) under uncultured bacterium. Its description in RNAcentral is "partial 16S ribosomal RNA". It matches the Rfam family "Bacterial small subunit ribosomal RNA", at positions 524 to 776 of the family's 1533-position model. The record is from RNAcentral.